GGUUAAGUGACUAAGCGUACACGGUGGAUGCCUAGGCAAUCAGAGGCGAAGAAGGACGUGCUAAUCUGCGAAAAGCUUGGAUGAGUUGAUAAGAAGCGUUUAAUCCAAGAUAUCCGAAUGGGGAAACCCAGUAGAUGAAGAAUCUACUAUCAAUAGAUGAAUACAUAGUCUGUUGAGGCAAACCGGGAGAACUGAAACAUCUAAGUACCCCGAGGAAAAGAAAUCAACCGAGAUUUUGUCAGUAGCGGCGAGCGAAAGCGAAAGAGCCAGCAAGUGAUAGCAGCAAAGACAGAAGAAUUGGCUGGAAAGCCAAGCGACACAGGGUGAUAGCCCCGUAUUUUAAGUUUAUGUUGUGGUACUAAACUUGCAACAAGUAGGGCGGGACACGAGAAAUCCUGUUUGAAGAUGGGGGGACCAUCCUCCAAGGCUAAAUACUCCUGAUUGACCGAUAGUGAACCAGUACUGUGAAGGAAAGGCGAAAAGAACCCCAGUGAGGGGAGUGAAAUAGAACCUGAAACCGUGUACGUACAAGCAGUGGGAGCCCUUUUGGGUGACUGCGUACCUUUUGUAUAAUGGGUCAGCGACUUAUAUUUUGUAGCGAGGUUAACUGAAUAAGGGAGCCGAAGGGAAACCGAGUCUUAACUGGGCGGYKAGUUGCAAGGUAUAGACCCGAAACCCGGUGAUCUAGCCAUGGGCAGGUUGAAGGUUGGGUAACACUAACUGGAGGACCGAACCGACUAAUGUUGAAAAAUUAGCGGAUGACUUGUGGCUGGGGGUGAAAGGCCAAUCAAACCGGGAGAUAGCUGGUUCUCCCCGAAAUCUAUUUAGGUAGAGCCUUAUGUGAAUACCUUCGGGGGUAGAGCACUGUUUCGGCUAGGGGUCCAUCCCGGAUUACCAACCCGAUGCAAACUGCGAAUACCGAAGAGUAAUGCAUAGGAGACACACRGUGGGUGCUAACGUCCAUCGUGGAGAGGGAAACAACCCAGACCGCCAGCUAAGGUCCCAAAGUCUAUAUUAAGUGGGAAACGAAGUGGGAAGGCUUAGACAGCUAGGAUGUUGGCUUAGAAGCAGCCACCAUUUAAAGAAAGCGUAAUAGCUCACUAGUCGAGUCGGCCUGCGCGGAAGAUGUAACGGGGCUAAAAUAUAGCACCGAAGCUGCGGCAUCAGGCGUAUCACAAAUACGCCUUCGAUUAACAACAUCGAAUGAAGUGAAACGGAAUAAGAUGUUGGUCAAGCACCCAACACGUUGAGUUGGCAUAAAGUGCGGAUAGAAAUCAGAGGAAUAUUUGUGAUACGCCUGUUGGGUAGGGGAGCGUUGUGUAAGCGGAUGAAGGUGAAUCGAGAGGUUUGCUGGACGUAUCACAAGUGCGAAUGCUGACAUAAGUAACGAUAAAACGAGUGAAAAACUCGUUCGCCGGAAGACCAAGGGUUCCUGUCCAACGUUAAUCGGGGCAGGGUGAGUCGGCCCCUAAGGCGAGGCUGAAAAGCGUAGUCGAUGGGAAACGGGUUAAUAUUCCCGUACUUGGUAAAGCUGCGAUGUGGGGACGGAGAAGGUUAGGUUAGCAGACUGUUGGAUGUCUGUUUAAGUUGGUAGGUGGGAAGUUUAGGCAAAUCCGGACUUCCAUAACACUGAGAGAUGAUGACGAGUUUCUACGGAAAUGAAGUAACUGAUACCACGCUUCCAGGAAAAGCCACUAAGCGAAAGGCUUUACUAAACCGUACUGAAAACCGACACAGGUGGUCAGGUAGAGAAUACUCAGGCGCUUGAGAGAACUCGGGUGAAGGAACUAGGCAAAAUAGCACCGUAACUUCGGGAGAAGGUGCGCUGGCGUAGGUUGUARGAGUAUACCUCCGAAGGCUGAACCAGUCGAAGAUACCAGCUGGCUGCAACUGUUUAUUAAAAACACAGCACUCUGCAAACACGAAAGUGGACGUAUAGGGUGUGAUGCCUGCCCGGUGCUGGAAGGUUAAUUGAUGGUGUUAUCGAAAGAGAAGCUCCUGAUCGAAGCCCCAGUAAACGGCGGCCGUAACUAUAACGGUCCUAAGGUAGCGAAAUUCCUUGUCGGGUAAGUUCCGACCUGCACGAAUGGCAUAAUGAUGGCCAGGCUGUCUCCACCCGAGACUCAGUGAAAUUGAAAUCGCCGUGAAGAUGCGGUGUACCCGCGGCUAGACGGAAAGACCCCGUGAACCUUUACUAUAGCUUGACACUGAACAUUGAAUUUUGAUGUGUAGGAUAGGUGGGAGACUAAGAAGCAGGCACGCCAGUGCUUGUGGAGUCGUCCUUGAAAUACCACCCUUUAACGUUUGAUGUUCUAACGAAGAUUACGAAACGUGGUCUCGGACAGUGUCUGGUGGGUAGUUUGACUGGGGCGGUCUCCUCCCAAAGCGUAACGGAGGAGCACGAAGGUUUGCUAAUCACGGUCGGACAUCGUGAGGUUAGUGCAAUGGUAUAAGCAAGCUUAACUGCGAGACAGACAAGUCGAGCAGGUGCGAAAGCAGGUCAUAGUGAUCCGGUGGUUCUGAAUGGAAGGGCCAUCGCUCAACGGAUAAAAGGUACUCCGGGGAUAACAGGCUGAUACCGCCCAAGAGUUCAUAUCGACGGCGGUGUUUGGCACCUCGAUGUCGGCUCAUCACAUCCUGGGGCUGAAGUAGGUCCCAAGGGUAUGGCUGUUCGCCAUUUAAAGUGGUACGCGAGCUGGGUUUAGAACGUCGUGAGACAGUUCGGUCCCUAUCUGCCGUGGGCGUUGGAGAAUUGAGAGGGGCUGCUCCUAGUACGAGAGGACCGGAGUGGACGCAUCACUGGUGUACCAGUUGUCUCGCCAGAGGCACUGCUGGGUAGCUAAAUGCGGAAGAGAUAAGUGCUGAAAGCAUCUAAGCACGAAACUCGCCUUAAGAUGAGUUCUCCCUAGCUAUAAGCUAGUAAGGGUUGUUGAAGACUACGACGUAGAUAGGUCUGGUGUGUAAGCGGUGUGAGCCGUUGAGCUAACAGAUACUAAUUGCCCGAGAGGCUUAACUAU
This 3017-nucleotide ribosomal RNA is filed under the name Glaesserella parasuis. Its description in RNAcentral is "23S ribosomal RNA". The record is from RNAcentral. Lineage: Bacteria; Pseudomonadati; Pseudomonadota; Gammaproteobacteria; Pasteurellales; Pasteurellaceae.